This is a long non-coding RNA of Lynx canadensis (Canada lynx), 661 nucleotides long. RefSeq lists it as uncharacterized. The record is from RefSeq and is a predicted model, not a curated record. Lineage: Eukaryota; Metazoa; Chordata; Mammalia; Carnivora; Felidae. The transcript is spliced from 2 exons.
CAUGAGAUGAUGGUGGCCUGGACCAGGGUGGUUACAGUGGAGUGGUGAGAAGUGAUGCUUUCCAGAUGUAUUUUCAAGAGUAUUUCCAGACAUAUUGGAUGUGGGUAUGAGGGAAGGGAAGAGUCAGACGUGACUCAAGACCUUGGCUGCCACCAACAAGUGUGGGCAAGACCUUGUGAGGAGAGGUUUGGGAUGGAAAGUCAGGGUUAGGGCUUUGGGAAGGUUGAGUUUAGAUGUCCACUGGACAAUUCCCAGCAGGCUGCUGGACAGGAGUCUGGACUUUGGGAGGAAGAUCCAGACUGGGGAUGUACAACUGGGAGUUGUCUGUCUAUGGAUGAAAUUUAGAGCCAGGAGACUGAAUGAGGUUAAGGGAGUAAGGACAUAUGAAGAGGAAAAGGGGGCUGAGCUCUGGGGCCCUUCAAAGUCAAAGAAGUCAAAGAGAAGAGAAGGAACAAGCCCAUGGUGCAGAGAAGCCACCGGGAGAUGUGAUUAGGACACAGAUAUGCAUGGAGGGAGGAGCACGUGAGGACACAGAGAGGAGACUGCUGUCUACACCCGAAGAAAGAAAGGCCUCAGAAGGAGCCAACUCUGCUACACCUUGCUCUCAGACUUCCAGCCUCAAGAAUCGCGAGAAAUAAAUGUCUGUUGGCCAAGCCCCCCA